UGAGAGGGCGCCUGGCUUCAGACUACGUGUCCAACCACCGCAAACCACAGAGCUGACCUUUGCUAGGACUUUAGUUACUAUCAGCUGGAGGAAGGAAAUAACAACAACCAUUCCCGCUAACCUAGUCUCAGAGUCUACAGAUCCUAAAGACCAUCAGAGUAUAACUGCCAGGGCCCUGGUUUCCAAUGAGCUGGGAAAAGGGGACCAGGCCCAAAGCUGAUUGAACAUUAAUUACGUCGGGACGGGCCUGACACAGAAGCAAACACGGAGGUGUUUCGGGCACGUCCAACCGGUAGGAGGCCACGGGGAAGACCCAGGACACAUUGUGGAGGGGGUCCGGUCCGAUGACCAUGGAUGAAGUACUGGCUGUCCAGAGUCGAGACCCAGGAUGGACCGCUCGUCGGGACCCAGGAUGGACCGCUCGCCUGUAUCGGUUGGGGACAUCUCUACGCUGCUGAUCCGCUUGAGAUGGUUUCCUGUGGACGGGACUCUCGCUGCUGUCUUGGAUCCGCUUGAACUGAACUCUCGCGGCUGUGUUGGAGCCACUAUGGAUUGAACUUUCACAGUAUCAUGUUAGACCCGCUCGACAUCCAUUGCUUUCGGUCCCCUAGAGAGGGGGGGUUGCCCACAUCUGAGGUCCUCUCCAAGGUUUCUCAUAGUCAGCAUUGUCACUGGCGUCCCACUGGAUGUGAAUUCUCUCUGCCCACUGGGUGUGAGUUUUCCUUGCCCUUUUGUGGGUUCUUCCGAGGAUGUUGUAGUCGUACUGAUUUGUGCAGUCCUUUGAGACAUUUGUGAUUCGGGGCUAUAUAAAUAAACAUUGAUUGAUUGAUUGAUUGAGAAGACUAUGUCUCCCGGCUGGCCUGGGAACGCCUCGGGAUCCCCCGGGAAGAGCUGGACGAAGUGGCUGGGGAGAGGAGAGUCUGGGCUUCCAUGCUUAGGCUGCUGCCCCCGCGACCCCACCUCGGAUAAGCGGAAGAAGAUACAAGUUUGAUUGAGUUAAUAUGCUGACAGCUGAUCACCGUGAUCCAACUCCGAUGAAUCUCGAACAGCCAUCACGAUUAAAUAAUCGCCCAGCCCUACUUUGUACAUCUACUGGAAUAAACUGCAACUUUAGAGAAGGUUUUUGGUGCAUGUUCAAGAAUAAAAAGUGUCCCUCA
This is a long non-coding RNA of Nerophis ophidion (straightnose pipefish), 1157 nucleotides long. RefSeq lists it as uncharacterized. Lineage: Eukaryota; Metazoa; Chordata; Actinopteri; Syngnathiformes; Syngnathidae. The record is from RefSeq and is a predicted model, not a curated record. The transcript is spliced from 3 exons.